UAGGGAAUCUUCCGCAAUGGACGCAAGUCUGACGGAGCAACGCCGCGUGAGUGAAGAAGGAUUUCGGUUCGUAAAACUCUGUUGUUAGAGAAGAACAGCGCAUAGAGUAACUGUUAUGCGUGUGACGGUAUCUAACCAGAAAGCCACGGCUAACUACGUGCCAGCAGCCGAGGUAAUACGUAGGUGGCAAGCGUUGUCCGGAUUUAUUGGGCGUAAAGCGAGCGCAGGCGGUCAAUUAAGUCUGAUGUGAAAGCCCCCGGCUCAACCGGGGAGGGUCAUUGGAAACUGGUUGACUUGAGUGCAGAAGAGGAGAGUGGAAUUCCAUGUGUAGCGGUGAAAUGCGCAGAUAUUAGGAGGAAUACCGGUGGCGAAGGCGACUUUCUGGCCAUAAUCUGACGCUGAGGUACGAAAGCGUGGGUAGCAGACAGG
RNAcentral lists this ribosomal RNA (429 nucleotides) under Bacteroidota bacterium. RNAcentral's name for it is "Bacteroidetes bacterium partial 16S ribosomal RNA". It matches the Rfam family "Bacterial small subunit ribosomal RNA", at positions 355 to 776 of the family's 1533-position model. The record is from RNAcentral. Lineage: Bacteria; Pseudomonadati; Bacteroidota.